This 492-nucleotide ribosomal RNA is filed under the name uncultured bacterium. RNAcentral describes it as "partial 16S ribosomal RNA". It matches the Rfam family "Bacterial small subunit ribosomal RNA", at positions 29 to 507 of the family's 1533-position model. The record is from RNAcentral.
AGUGAACGCUGGCGGUAGGCCUAACACAUGCAAGUCGAGCGGCAGCACAGUAAGAGCUUGCUCUUACGGGUGGCGAGUGGCGGACGGGUGAGGAAUACAUCGGAAUCUACUUUUUUGUGGGGGAUAACGUAGGGAAACUUACGCUAAUACCGCAUACGACCUACGGGUGAAAGCAGGGGAUCUUCGGACCUUGCGCGAUUGAAUGAGCCGAUGUCGGAUUAGCUAGUUGGCGGGGUAAAGGCCCACCAAGGCGACGAUCCGUAGCUGGUCUGAGAGGAUGAUCAGCCACACUGGAACUGAGACACGGUCCAGACUCCUACGGGAGGCAGCAGUGGGGAAUAUUGGACAAUGGGCGCAAGCCUGAUCCAGCCAUACCGCGUGGGUGAAGAAGGCCUUCGGGUUGUAAAGCCCUUUUGUUGGGAAAGAAAAGCAGCAGGUUAAUACCCCGCUGUCCUGACGGUACCCAAAGAAUAAGCACCGGCUAACUUCGUG